Molecule: ribosomal RNA, 253 nt
Filed under: uncultured bacterium
Lineage: Bacteria
Description: partial 16S ribosomal RNA
Rfam family: Bacterial small subunit ribosomal RNA
Source: RNAcentral
UACGAAGGGGGCUAGCGUUAAUCGGAAUUACUGGGCGUAAAGCGUGCGUAGACGGCUAUCUAAGUCGGGCGUGAAAGCCCCGGGCUCAACCUGGGAAUUGCAUUCGAGACUGAAUAGCUAGGGUACGGUAGAGGGAAGUGGAAUUUCCGGUGUAGCGGUGAAAUGCGUAGAUAUCGGAAGGAACAUCAGUGGCGAAAGCGACUUCCUGGACCAGUACCGACGUUCAGGCACGAAAGCGUGGGGAGCAAACAGG